Molecule: long non-coding RNA, 755 nt
Organism: Piliocolobus tephrosceles (Ugandan red Colobus)
Lineage: Eukaryota; Metazoa; Chordata; Mammalia; Primates; Cercopithecidae
Exons: 3
Source: RefSeq, a predicted model, not a curated record
CGGAUUUCACCAUAUUAGCCAGGCUGGUCUCAAAACCUGACCUCAAGUGAUCCACCCGCCUGGACCUCCCAAAGUGCUGAGAUUAUAGAUGUGAGCCACCUGCUUUUAACUUGUUCAGCUACAAAGGCAUGUCUGUGAAUGCACAACCAUAAUGACUCAUCAUGGGCCCAGAGCUAUGACAAUGAUAAGAGUGCUGGCUUUGAUGUGGUUGAAUGCUUGCUCACCGUCACACAGCUGGAGAGACACAACUGGAGUCUGUUUCAGCUGAUCAUCAUCUGCAUGGCUCACUUUCCAUUGGGAUUAAUUCAGACCACUUUUUAAUUUUAAGUUACUCUCAUUUUCAAAAUUUCUAUGGCAGGCCACCAUGCCAAUACUCAGUAAACAGAAGGUGAAACACAUCAAAAUGGGAAAGUACUAGGAAGGCCAUGGGAUUGAUGGAGAAAAUUGAAUCAUACAGAAUUUUAAUAACUUUAAGUAGUAAAUUUUAGAAGUAGAUAUGUAAAAACUUCAUGAUUUCAUAUUUUGAGGCAAUGUGUUAUCGCCUGCGAUAUGUGGCUUUAUCUAGAUCAUGUUUUCCAUUUUGCCACCUGAUCACAAUUUGCUCUUUUUUCCCUUUUUACUUGACUGACUGACUCUGCCAUGAGAAAAUGUGGUCUAGUCCAAAUUAUUUUUUAAAAUAUAAAAAGUUAUAGGUUGAGGCUGGGUGCAGUGUCUCACGCCUGUAAUCCCAGCACUUUGGGAGGCCGAGGUGGGCA